This 439-nucleotide ribosomal RNA is filed under the name uncultured archaeon. Its description in RNAcentral is "bacterial SSU rRNA". It matches the Rfam family "Archaeal small subunit ribosomal RNA", at positions 19 to 463 of the family's 1478-position model. The record is from RNAcentral.
GGACCUGACUGCUAUCGGAUUAAUACUAAGCCAUGCGAGUUUUUGUAGUAAUACAAGGCAUACGGCUCAGUAACACGUAGUCAACCUACCCUAUGGACGAGGAUAAUCUCGGGAAACUGAGCAUAAUACCCGGUAGACCACUUCUCCUGGAAUGGUUAGUGGUUAAAAUGAUUCGUCGCCAUAGGAUGGGACUGCGGCCUAUCAGCUUGUUGGUGAGGUAAUGGCCCACCAAGGCGAUUACAGGUACGGGCUCUGAGAGGAGAAGCCCGGAGAUGGGUACUGAGACAAGGACCCAGGCCCUAUGGGGCGCAGCAGGCGAGAAAACUUUGCAAUGUGCGAAAGCACGACGAGGUUAAUCCGAGUGAUUUCUGCUAAAGGAAUCUUUUACCAGUUCUAAAAAUACUGGCGAAUAAGGGGUGGGCGAGUUCUGGUGUCAGCG